CGGAGGAUUGAGAAAGUAAGGCAGUUAAAAAGUAUUGCUUUUUAUUGGUUACAGCCUCCAAAAUCAAAAUGUUGCAGAAGCAAAAUGUGUUCCUCUACCUAGUGAGGGAAUAAUAUUGCUGUUUGCACACAUUCU
Sphaerodactylus townsendi is the source of this 135-nucleotide small nucleolar RNA. RefSeq annotates it as small nucleolar RNA SNORA47. NCBI's taxonomy places the organism in Eukaryota, Metazoa, Chordata, Lepidosauria, Squamata, Sphaerodactylidae. The transcript has a single exon. The record is from RefSeq and is a predicted model, not a curated record.